AUAAUGCACCCAGCUAAAAAUAUAUUUCACAAUAUGAAACCAUCACACAAUUAGGGAGGCAUAUACUACGUUUCUUCAUCAUAACAAUUAGGAAAAUUUGCGAGAAAACACCUUAUUUGUUUAACUUUUUGUAAGAAAACACCUUAUAUAUUUUUCUUUGUGAAAAAACACCUUAUAUAAUAUUUUUUAUUAAAACAACCACCUUACUUCUGGAUUCCGGCAAAAAAAAGUCAAUUUUCCGGUUUGACCUCACUUUUCUUUUUUCUUUUUUCUUUUGAGCGUGUGAACUUCACGCUAUACAUAAAAAAGUGGGUUUCUAUUUGUUUUGUUAUAAUGAAGAGAGAGAAAGAUGGGAGAGCAACUGGAAGGUUCCCAAAGUUCACACCAUCUCCAUUGAUAAGCAUCUGGAAGAUUGAUUUUAUUUCGCGGCCAUUCCUCCAUUGAUAAGCAUCAGUUAAGUUGGCAGUUGUAUCAAACUUUGACACCAGAUUAAGGAAGCUUUUGAAGGAACUCAAUGUCUUAGAUCUGUAUGGACCAUUGUCCUCUCUGCAGUUAUCUGUAAACUGUAAUCUUCACUUACUUGCAAGGCUAUCUCUAUUUUCAGGCCAAUUGUUAUACUAGACAUAAAAAUUGGAUUCUGCCCUUUUGAAGGUUCUAGUGUCUUGUCAAGUUAAUAUGGUUUGGUAAAAGAUACAGACAUCUGUACUUGUUUCUUUCUCUUUGCAUCAUCAAUUUAUGUGCUCGGAUUUGGUUUCUC
This is a long non-coding RNA of Beta vulgaris subsp. vulgaris (sugar beet), 757 nucleotides long. RefSeq lists it as uncharacterized. The transcript is spliced from 2 exons. Lineage: Eukaryota; Viridiplantae; Streptophyta; Magnoliopsida; Caryophyllales; Amaranthaceae. The record is from RefSeq and is a predicted model, not a curated record.